Molecule: long non-coding RNA, 1064 nt
Organism: Phacochoerus africanus (Common warthog)
Lineage: Eukaryota; Metazoa; Chordata; Mammalia; Artiodactyla; Suidae
Exons: 4
Source: RefSeq, a predicted model, not a curated record
UAAGCCUUCCCGGGGGGGACCCCCACUGGCUCCGAGGCUGCGGAAGCUGGGAGACGCCAGCCUUGUGACAAGAGAGUCACUCCUCCCGAUCUCUGCUGCAGGGUCUACCGCAAGCCAGAGUGACAGUUCUACUCAGACGCUUUUACAAAGGCUUCCUGCAAAUGUGUUUCGUCUUCAGAAAAAUUUAUGGAAAGGAAUCUAACAAGUACUCUAAAAUACAAGUUUCUGAUAAUUUUCAAAUCAGACCGCUGAACUGGAACACAACUGGAAACUGGUUAUGUUACCAAGGCUUGGGUGCAACGCCACAGUGGAGAGAAAUACGCACAGAUUCAGAUACAACCAGACAGCUUCAAGGAACUACGUUGACUUUAUGGAGCCAAUAAAGCCUUUUAGGGAGAAAAAGGCUGGAACCUUACUCACAGAGUUCCCAGCAGCUUCAUCAGGCCUAACUGGGAGCUCAUCUGCACCACCACCUCCUGAGAUGAUUUUAACUAGACUGACCUACUGUCAGGGCUAAGAGACUGGUUCAACGAGAUGGAACACUCUACAAACUCAACUUCCGGACCGUGAAACUUCUCUGGAAAUAUUUCAAAGCUGAAACUAUCGGGAAACAAAAUCUGUCAUCCCCGAACGUGUCUCUUUGGCAUGAGGAUUCUUUUAGGCGGACUGAUUUUAAGAAACAGAAGAUUCAGCAAGUUUUCUUUUUAUCUCUUCUUUAGCUGCCUAAAGAAUUUAGAUAAAGAGCCUGGUCCAAGAAGAUGAGGAUCUCACCAGAGAGGCCUGCAGAGAUGUGGGUGAGGCAAGUGGGGGCUGGGCAGGGCCUGAGGUCAGUCCACUCUGUGUCCCUCCGUGUCUGCCCAGCCCAGCAGACUGCUGUUCACCCAACAUCUGCUUUUCCGUCUACAUGUCAAAUGCACGUCUUCCCUUUGAAGUCCCAAAACCCUACCCCCAACAUCCUCUUUUGUCUUUAGCUGAAGAGGGCAUUUAAGAUGACAGCUUGGGCCAUUUUGGCGACUGACUCUGUUUUCCUGGGUCUCUCCUAUGUACACGUUAUUAAACUUCUG